AUGGGCCUGUGUUUUCCCCUUUUAAAAUGCCAUUUUGGAAAUCGGCUCUCCCCCGGAGAAUACAUUAAGGUUUCUCAAAGCACCUUGGGAACUGCUGUGCUAAGUCCGGGUUGCCCCCAUUGGCGUGGCGGCCACAGGGAGCAGCGGAAGGAGGCGGCGGCCACCACCUCCAGCGACUGGCCAAGAGAGAUGCUCAGACUUCCCCACGGAGGGCCCUCUUCUGGACCAAGCUCGUGUUCUGCACUUCCUGAAAGAGAGAGCAAGCCAGAGGGAACCUGGUUAUCGUCCUGGGAUGUGGAAUUGAUCCCUGCUCCCUUGGUCCUGUAUGUUGGUGUGAACUCACAAGGUGAGGCAGUAGAAGACAAGAUAGAUGUAAAUCAAAACCCUCCUCUGGGUCUGUGAAAUCCGCUUGACUGGUUAAAGCCUUAGUUUCCUAAUCUUGAAAAUGGGGUUAACACCAUCCUUUUAUCUUCCUUACGUGGUUGCUGUGGUUUCAAAUGGGAUAAUGUCCUUGGCUGGGUACACUUUAUAUGCUGGAAAUGGAAGUGACACUGACUGAACCUUGAUUAGGAGCCAUGUGCUGGGCUGAGUGUCUUUGCAGACCUCAUCUCCUGUGCAGGAUUUGGAUAUGAUUACACAGCAUGACUGUCCUAAUUGUCUUUGAUUAUUGUAAAGCAAAUUCCCUGCUCUAGUUCUUUGCUCCCUCACCGUGGAGACCUCCAAUCCCAUUAUGUCUUCCUGAGUUGUUUCUAAUAGCCUCACUCAGCCUCUCCCUGGGUGAGUAACUCACUGUAGCCCUGUGACCCUGGACACAGCCUGCACAAAAGCAAGGACCACCCAGUAACUCAGGCUCCAGGUUGUGCAGCCAUCUCAGGGCUCCCAUUUCUUUCCUGCCCCCAACUUUCAGCAAAUUAAAAAGAUUUGUCAAUUCCACCUUUGCAGUUACUCCUGAAUUCAUUUCCACUCCUCUCUCCUUAGCUAUCCGCCUAUUUCAGGUUGUUGUUAGGUCUCUCUCAGAAAUCCCCUAAGCCCCCUGCUGGUGGAGGCUGGGCCUUCCUGAAGGCAGCUGAGGAGGCAGCAGGCCUCUGUCUAGGGCCUUGGUCUUAGGAUUCACUUUGACAUUGACUGACUCCUACUUCCUCAGCUCUAGCGGUGGUGCUGAGAGGGUGACUUGAUGACAUGAGUUGCAGGGCUUUAGCUACCCCAUAAUUUCCAUCACAACUUAUUAGACCCACCCUAAAAAUAUACCAUCCAAGUUUAAUUAGGUUCACAUAGCUUUAAGCCACCAAUAUCCCUUCUGAUGAGUGUGUCAUUGCGGAGUUCCCUCUAAUGUAGGAAUUCCAGAGCCAUGGGACCUAGCCCUGUAACUGGGUUUUCUUGACAUCUUCCUGGUCUGAUUUGACCUACUCUGUAUGCUGGAUUCAGCUUUGCUGACUGUUUUGCCUGUUUCUAAAUUUUGAUUUUAUUCAUCUUUUAGACUCCUGACUUCUUCAAUUACCCAUGGUCUGUUCCUAUUCUAGACCACACUAAUUCACCUACAAAUGAAGGGAAUGAGGAAUACUGUAGAAUGAGACAUAAAAAGUGAAGUUUGAAGAUGGUGGAUUUAACACUGGUUUGACUAUUUUACAUUAAGACCAGACACACACACACACACACACUCAUAUAUAGGCUCGUAAGUAAUUACUGAAACUAAUGUUCACAUAAAUAGUACCUAACACUAGCACAUGUAAUGAAUUCUGAUCUUUUCUAUUCUAUUGUAUUCAAUUUUUGCAAAAAAGUUACCAUUUCUGACCCAGCAACUUCUCCUGAUGGACUAAAGCAGCUGAUUUUGCUGUAUAUAGGUGUUGUUCUAAGGAAAAGUGGAACUGAGCUGGGAAGGAUCUCAUAUCUAAGAGUUACCAAGGUUCUAUCAAAAUUUGAAUUGUUUAUGAGUUGUCUCCUCUUCUUACAGUUUUUUUGUAAGAGGGAAAGGCAGAGGGAGAAAGAGAUCUUCUAUCUGGUUGGUCAUUAUCCAAGUGUCCCUGAUAGCCAGGCCUAGGCCAGGCCAAAGCUAGGAGCCCAGAACUCCAUCCAGAUCUCCCUCAUGAGUGGCAGGGACCCCAGUCCUUGGGUCAUCAUCUGCUUCCCUACAGGUACAUUAGCAGGAAGCCAGAUCAGAAGUGGAGUAGCUGGGACUUAAACCAGGCACUCUGAUAUGAGAUGCAGGCCUCCUAAGAAACAGUUUAACCUGGUGCACCACAACACCCAUUCCUCCUAAUCUUUUAUCUAGUAUGUGUGGGUGCAUUGGGGGGAGCCCCAAUUUCUCUCUUUCAGAAGCAUGUGUCUAAAGUAUAACAAUUUUUAGAAGUACUUAUAUUUCAAUCAAAUGACUGAAGGUAUUUGUAUCAAAAAUGUUUUGUCUGUUAUCUGCAAUCAGGGAUUGAGAAAUGAAGCAUGGUUGCUGGUGAGUAAUUCAGCCAUUCACGUGAGCAAUUCUGAUUCAUCAUGUACUAUCCGUUCUACUGUUGGGGAAUUGGAGAUGGAAGUGUGGAUGGCUAGAAGGUCCUCAGUUCUAGUCUAGAAGAAGCAAGUUUCUUCUUUCAGCCUGGGAAGGAACUUUGAUGGUGACAGCUGAUGCAGUUAGAGGACCUGGAGAAGAACCCCACUUACAAAGAGCUUGGAUCCCAGGAAUCCUCAGCACUGAGUUUACUGUGGAAUUGCCUGGAAGCUUUUAUUUAUUUACUUUGUAACUUUUUAUUAUGAAAAAAUCCAAACAUGUAUGAAAGUGUAGAGAAAGAUACAAUGAUCCCCCAUGUGUCAACCGCUCAGGUUUGAUUGCUAUAAACUCAAGGCCAAUUUCCUUUGUCUAUACUUGACCCAAUCCUGCAUCUCCCUCAGUAUUUUGAAGUAAAACCCAGAUGUAAUAUCAUUUCAUCUCCAAAUGUUUCAUUUCUUAUUUUUAAAAGAUGAUAACUUCAUUUUUAAAAGAAAACCACAUAGGGAGCUUUUGAAGAAUCCAAAUUCCUGGAUCCCAUGCCAAUUAAAUCAGAGCAUGUGGGGCAUGGAACCCAAGCACUGGUGUUUUCACAAAGCUCUGAGGAGAUGCUAAUGCUAUUAUCAUAACUAUUUGGGGCAAAAAUUGAAUGGUGAGGGCUGAGGAUCCCUAUGCAGGGCAGUCAUAGGUGGAAAACAGCUGCAGCAGCUGCCUCCAUUAGGAUGAGGGUCACUUCUGCCCUUGUCUCUGUCCACCCUCAGCCUCAGCAAACCACCUCACCUCCCACUUGACCUCUCUGUAGGUAACUCCCGACAUCCACAUCUCCAAGUCCUGAUCCAGCUUUUAACUCUAAUCUCAGAUACCUCACUUGCUAUAGAUCAUUUCCACUAGUAAGUUCUGUCACUUAAGACUGAAUAUUCUUAAAACAGACGUUUCCUCUGUCCCCUAAACCAGCUCCCUCUCUGGAUGGCUUCAUUUUUGUCAUCAGGAUGGUUGUCUUUUUUAUUUUUCAUUGUCACUCCUACACAAACCAGAACCUAAACAGAAUUUCCACAUUUGAUGUGACUCACAUCCAGCCCAUUUUUUUUUUUUUCCCGUAUUCUCACUUCUCCUUUGGUCCCUUGUCCUUUUAGGCUAUACUAUUGCAAUAACUUUGGAAUUAGUUCCUUCUCCUCUUUUCUCUUCGGCUUCCACCCCUCUUCACAUUCACAAGUCAUAUGUGUCUUCUUAGAACACAGCUGUAUGGCUUGCCCUGUGGUGAACAAGGUUUAGCCUCCCCCGCCUGUGAUGUCAGCAUCCCUUAGGGGCGUCAGUUCAAGUACUGGCGGCUCUACUUCCCAUCCAGCUCCCUUCUUAUGUGCCUGGGAAAGCAAUGGAGAAUGGCACGAGUCCUUGAGCCUCUGCACUUGAAUGGGUGAUCUGGAAGAAGCUCCUGGCUCCUGGCUUUGGAUCUGCCCAGCUCCGGCCGUUGCGGCCACCUGGGGAGUGAACCAGCGGAUGGAAGGCCUCUCCAUCUGUCUCUCCCUCUCUUUGUCUGUAACUCUGCCUCUCAAAUAAAUAAAUAAAUAUUUUUUAAAAAGGAACA
This 4058-nucleotide long non-coding RNA is filed under the name Oryctolagus cuniculus (rabbit). RNAcentral's name for it is "lncRNA (ENSOCUG00000039632.1)". Lineage: Eukaryota; Metazoa; Chordata; Mammalia; Lagomorpha; Leporidae. The record is from RNAcentral.